This 619-nucleotide ribosomal RNA is filed under the name uncultured eukaryote. Its description in RNAcentral is "SSU rRNA". It matches the Rfam family "Eukaryotic small subunit ribosomal RNA", at positions 617 to 1235 of the family's 1831-position model. The record is from RNAcentral.
GGUUAAAAAGCUCGUAGUUGGAUCUCGGCGAGCAGGGGGUGGUUCGCUCUUCAGCGCUCCUGCCCCGCUUUGCCCGUGUGAUUGGCGGAGGUUUCGGGGUGCUCUUCGUUGAGUGACUCGGAGCGCCGUCAGGUUUACUUUGAAAAAAUUAGAGUGCUCAAAGCAGGCUUUUCACGCUUGAAUAUUCGUGCAUGGAAUAAUGGAAUAGGAACUCGUUUCUAUUUUGUUGGUUUUCGGAAAUCGAGUUAAUGAUUAACAGGGACAAUUGGGGGCAUUAGUAUUCAGACGACAGAGGUGAAAUUCUUGGACCGUCUGAAGACUGACUACUGCGAAAGCAUUUGCCAAGAGUGUUUUCAUUAAUCAAGAACGAAAGUUAGAGGUUCGAAGGCGAUCAGAUACCGCCCUAGUUCUAACCAUAAACGAUGCCAGCUAGCGAUCUGCCGAGUUUUUUUUGUAGGCUCCGCAGGAAGCUUUCGGGAAACCAAAGCUUUCGGGUACCGGGGGAAGUAUGGUUGCAAAGCUGAAACUUAAAGGAAUUGACGGAAGGGCACCACCAGGAGUGGAGCCUGCGGCUUAAUUUGACUCAACACGGGAAAUCUCACCAGGCCCGGACACUGGA